Andrographis paniculata is the source of this 708-nucleotide long non-coding RNA. RefSeq lists it as uncharacterized. The transcript has 4 exons. NCBI's taxonomy places the organism in Eukaryota, Viridiplantae, Streptophyta, Magnoliopsida, Lamiales, Acanthaceae. The record is from RefSeq and is a predicted model, not a curated record.
AGUUUUGUUUUAAUUAAAUAAAAUCAAAACUCUUCCCAUCUUCCUCAUCACCAAACCUUAUCCUGUAAGUCCUAGGGCUCUUCGCACGUCGUCGACAUCAGAGAUGGAGACCCAGGAUCAGCCACGCAUUUUAAUUUCCAGUGAGUGACUUGGUGUUUCCCCCGUUUUGGCCGGAGAAAAGGCAGACAACAACUCACACGAUGCAUGAAUACAUUAUGGUUGCGAAUAUUGGGUGUGUGAAGGGAAAAGACAACGAGCAAACAAGAAGUUUGUUUCAAACAUCCGGAGGUCAAUGUUGGGUUUUAUAGUCAUCUGCCUAGAUUGGUCACGUUGUGUUGCAGUUGGUGAUCAUACAUGGAACACAUACUCACUGAUCUUGCUUUGGGGAAAUAAAGCAAAAUGAUCAACACAGAAAAAAUAGACAAGGUAAUGGGAAGAAUAACACUAUCCCUUUCUAUCCUAUUAUAAUGAAAUUUCUAAGUACAUUCGACUGUUAAGCAAAUGCUUUCAUCCAGAGUGAUCAUCACCGAGAAUCAGAUUGUGUCUAGUAGAUACGCAGAUACCCUCUACCCUUUGAUUAUCCUCUAGCAACUUAAAUUUUCGUGAAUUGUUUCUACUUUUCUAUUUUAAAGUCGACUACGUAAGAAAUGCAGCCUGGGUUUAGGGUGUAUUCCGCAUCCAAUGUACUCUAGAAUAGUCUUGAAUACA